CAUUUCAUCCAGUCGCUACCCCUUCUUUCUCUCUCUGGUGAUUUUCAAUUUAGGGUUUCUUGCCUCCUGUGGUAUGAGCCAGAUCUCAUCGGAUCCAACAAUGGUGGUCGAGGCAAGUUCCAACAAUCCGAGAUUUCGUGAUUCCACUUGGCUGAGGUAUCUUCUCUGGCGGCGGCAGUGAAUGUGACAAGGGUGUAUGGGAGUUGCGUGUUUGGAGACUCGAUGAAAAUGGGUGGCACCGGCAUCAACAGCAGGCGGCGGCUAGGGUUCUGACCACGACCACCUGUUUUGGAGCUCAUUUUACAUUUGGGUACUGGUCUUGAAGAUUAUUCCAAGAUUUUGUUACGGAUCUGAUCUGGUAUGUUUGUGCAUCAUUCAUUGACCCAUUGUUUGUUGGCCCAGUUUCCGCUAAUACCAAAGCUCGUGAUGAUAUGUGUUGGGUUGAGCGACAGACAUGGAGGACGUAAAAAAAGCUAGAAAAUUUCUUGGGGUGGGUAAAACCCUAACAACGUCGACGAAGCUGAACGGAAAAACCCUAAUAAGGUUUUGACUUUGGUGAAAAAGGUAUAAUAUAAUUCUACAGAGGCGAUGAUUAGUAGUGUUUUGGAGUUUUGGUUUCUAAGAAAGAGAAUAGAAAGGUGAGAGGGCGAUCAAUAGACAUAUUUGGUUUCAGAUAGACCAGUAGAGCAGAGCAUUCGAUAAAUGGUAUAGUUGGGUGAAUGGAUUUAGGGGAGUGGGCCCUCAACUGCAGGGUGGAAGUGUCCAUACAUAAGGGUAUUGUAAUCUCGAAACAAAUGCUGGUUAUGUAAGGUUAACUAAAUUAUACAGCAGGAAUUACAAGAAUGCUAAACGGGCAGCGGUGCUGGGUCGAUUAAGGCACACGUUGUAUGUUCUGGUGACCCUUGAUACAUAUAUCCGGUUGUAGGUCAAGUUAUGGAUAAAUAUAUGAUUGAUAGUGAUGUUUCUGGAGAAAUAGGCGUUUUUCGGCGAAGGGUGUGAUCAGCAAGUUCAAAGUAACUAUGGUGAUGGUUUCAGGUGAUCAGCCAACAUCUCAGUCAAAACAGAUUAAACUCGGGCCAAAAAACGGUCAUCGGAAAGAUUUCACUUUUACGCGGACGACACGACUCGCCAAGUGGAAGCGCAUCACUACUGCGGCCAUCUGAACAAAGACAUGCGGCAAUCUCUGAUCUACGACCGGCCCGAUGCCGAUGCGCGGUUGAUCAUGCUGGAACUCUUCCGGACACCGAAAAACCGAUGUGGCAUAGCCACGAGUACGAGGUGAAGAGCGGCGUGCUCUUCCUUCCCGGUGUUCCCGGUCCGGUUGAACGAAAAGAUCUCGAGAAAGUGGCAAAACACGGGAAGACCAUACACUUUUAGCAGGUGGAUAGAGAUGAUGAACUGUCGCUCGGGUUACCGCAGGUGACGAUGGCGCUAACACGAGACGGGCAACUCUACCCGACGCGCUUUUGACAACAUAGUUUUUUUUAUUACGUCAAACUUAAAGUGGUUGAACACUUGAAUAAUCUUUUUAUAUAAUUUGUGUGCAGUAGGCUACCAUAUGCCUAAAGGGAGAAACAGUCUUUGUUAAUAAAGGGAGUUGGUGAACUUUUCAAAAUUCAGUUCAAGUUUUUCACUAGCCAGGAAGUUUGAAUUGAACGUAGGUAAAGAGGAUCAUUUUAGUGAUAGGGAUUGUUGCUGUGUCAUUGGGUGCUGAUUCAAAUGACCACCUUUGUACACCGGUGGAUGAUAUGGUUGAUGGUGGCAAAUCCGUAAAUAACGAGGCGCUAGGAACAAAGAUUGAUGCACAAACUUGCAACCCAACACCAUUGCUCACACCAUUCACGUCUAUUGUCGAUCGAGCUCUGUUUUUAUCGAUUUGGUGAUUCAGGCCCUAUAUGAAAUCCUAACAAAAUGCAUGGCAGCCAAAGGUAAUA
RNAcentral lists this long non-coding RNA (1934 nucleotides) under Helianthus annuus (common sunflower). Lineage: Eukaryota; Viridiplantae; Streptophyta; Magnoliopsida; Asterales; Asteraceae. The record is from RNAcentral.